RNAcentral lists this ribosomal RNA (253 nucleotides) under uncultured bacterium. RNAcentral's name for it is "partial 16S ribosomal RNA". It matches the Rfam family "Bacterial small subunit ribosomal RNA", at positions 524 to 776 of the family's 1533-position model. The record is from RNAcentral.
UACGGGGGGGGUAAGCGUUGUUCGGAAUUACUGGGCGUAAAGGGCUCGUAGGCGGCCAACUAAGUCGGACGUGAAAUCCCUCAGCUUAACUGGGGAACUGCGUCCGAUACUGGAUGGCUUGGAUUCGGGAGAGGAAUGCGGAAUUCCAGGUGUAGCGGUGAAAUGCGUAGAUAUCUGGAGGAACACCGGUGGCGAAGGCGGUUCUCUGGGCAUUACCUGACGCUGAGGAGCGAAAGUGUGGGGAGCGAACAGG